GUCUAUCAUACUUUCUGUGAAGAAAUUCCUCCCAAUGUCCAACCUAAACUUCCCCUGGUGCAGCUUAAGAUCAUGUCCUCUAGUCCUAUCACUGCCUGUUAGAAAAGACUAACGCCCACCUGGCUACACCGUCCUCUCAGGGACUUGUAGAGCCUGACAAAAUAGAGAUCUGAAAGGAAGAGGCAAGGCUAAGUCUUCCUGUACUAGGAAGAAAAUAACCCUGUGCAACAAUAAAGGCUGAGAGAUGAUUUAAUGAAUAAACAAACGCCACAACAAAACCAACCAACCAAAGGCAGAAAAGGAGUUGUGAGUGCAGGAGAGGCUCCCCUGAUGCACCCAGCUCAGACUCCCUGAUCAGGGUGGUGUGGCAGUGUCACAGGUGCCCUUUUAGCUCCUUGCCAGGUUGCUCUCUUGCUUGCCAGACCUUUUCCUUCAAAGGUUCCUUGGGUUACAGAACCCUAAACCCUGCUGUGACACCAGCUGUUGACCUGCAGAAUUUGCCUGCUGUCCCUGGGCCUUUCCCCCUAACCAGCAGGAUCCUUUCUCCCUCACCACCAAAAUUCUGGAGUCCUUCUGGAGAUAUGUACGGUCACCUCAGCAGUAUCACCAGUGCCUGCAUGGAUGAGCAGCACAAGGUGACAGCCUGAGGAGAAGACAAGCCUUGGUAAUCCCUCCAUGAAAUCCUGCACCUGAGCACCUGGCAAGGAACAAAACUCAGGUACCAAGCCAGGCUGGCAGAUGGUGCCUCUGUCCUGCACAGGAGUCCCCAGUCAUCGCUUCUCUCCUCCUCUUGGUGCAGGUACUUGGUCCAUGCUCAGCUGGCUCUGGUCAUAGAUCUUGUUUCUUCCUGCCUGUUCCCAGGUAACUGCUGAUCACCCUGUACAGACCUGGGACCUACAGGAGCACAAGAGGAAGGCAAGCUUUUGGAGCACUGAGUCAUGACUAUUCUGGAAGAAGUGUUGCCAGCACUAUGAAAGAUAACUACAGAAAUAAAUAAGCCAACGCAAAAUCAUACUGUUCAAGGUUGGACUUUUAUUUAAGGCAAAAUAUAAUCACAGCUUUAAUUAUUCAUACUAUGGAUAUACACAGUUUGUUCUGCCACUAUGAAGCUUAGUAUUAUCACUGCUUUUAAAAAGCUAUAAAAUCUAUUUUCUAUCAUAAUCUACAAUACAAAACUAAUACAAUAAACACAUUCUGAAAGAUCACAGUGUUUAAAAUAUUAGAAAAGCAGGGGUCCUGCUUUCAAACAAUAAGGUGCAUCUCUAAAGAAUCAAAUCAGCCUUGAUUCUACAGGCCUGUACCACAUCAUGGCUGUGAAUGGCUGUAACACUGAGAAACCAAUCUAGGGUGUGGCACGUACUCAAGGAAUGAACAUCACACACUGGAAUAUAUUGAAUAAUCAAGUGUCACCAACACAAACUAGACAUUAAAUAAUGCCAUUUAAGUUCCCUGUACUUUUUAUUUGUAUUGGUAUUCACGUAUGUUGCAGAGAUAGCGAGAUAAAAUGUGUAUAAAUUGCUAUCAAACAGGGCCCUGCAUAUGCAAACACCUGUGCUUUCCUCAUACUAUGCAAACAAGCCUUACUAAUUCCAUGGGACUGAUGUGUAAAGGAAAGUUUGUAGGCCUGGGGUCUGGAAUGACAGUUUUACCCCUGUUCCACACAUGUGGAAGGAGCUACCUUACAGGCCUGGAAUCAAGCAGAGGUUCACCAUGGACAUCAGCAGGUGGCCUAUCAGGCUCUUAAAA
This is a non-coding RNA of Taeniopygia guttata (zebra finch), 1746 nucleotides long. NCBI's taxonomy places the organism in Eukaryota, Metazoa, Chordata, Aves, Passeriformes, Estrildidae. The record is from RefSeq and is a predicted model, not a curated record.